CGUAGGGGGCUAGCGUUGUCCGGAAUCAUUGGGCGUAAAGCGCGUGUAGGCGGCCCGGUAAGUCCGCUGUGAAAGUCGGGGGCUCAACCCUCGAAAGCCGGUGGAUACUGUCGGGCUAGAGUACGGAAGAGGCGAGUGGAAUUCCUGGUGUAGCGGUGAAAUGCGCAGAUAUCAGGAGGAACACCGAUUGCGAAGGCAGCUCGCUGGGACGUUACUGACGCUGAGACGCGAAAGCGUGGGGAGCAAACAGGAUUAGAUACCCUGGUAGUCCACGCUGUAAACGAUGGGCACUAGGUGUGGGGGGUGUCGACUCCCUCCGUGCCGAAGCUAACGCAUUAAGUGCCCCGCCUGGGGAGUACGGCCGCAAGGCUA
Molecule: ribosomal RNA, 372 nt
Filed under: uncultured organism
Description: bacterial SSU rRNA
Rfam family: Bacterial small subunit ribosomal RNA
Source: RNAcentral